RNAcentral lists this ribosomal RNA (488 nucleotides) under uncultured bacterium. RNAcentral's name for it is "bacterial SSU rRNA". It matches the Rfam family "Bacterial small subunit ribosomal RNA", at positions 30 to 507 of the family's 1533-position model. The record is from RNAcentral.
UGAACGCUAGCUACAGGCUUAACACAUGCAAGUCGAGGGGCAGCAUGAACUUAGCUUGCUAAGUUUGAUGGCGACCGGCGCACGGGUGAGUAACACGUAUCCAACCUUCCGUUUACUCAGGGAUAGCCUUUCGAAAGAAAGAUUAAUACCUGAUAGUAUGGUGAGAUUGCAUGAUAACACCAUUAAAGAUUUAUUGGUUACAGACGAGCAUGCGCUCCAUUAGCCAGUUGGCGGGGUAACGGCCCACCAAAGCGACGAUGGAUAGGGGUUCUGAGAGGAAGGUCCCCCACAUUGGAACUGAGACACGGUCCAAACUCCUACGGGAGGCAGCAGUGAGGAAUAUUGGUCAAUGGGCGAGAGCCUGAACCAGCCAAGUAGCGUGAAGGAUGACUGCCCUAUGGGUUGUAAACUUCUUUUAUAAAGGAAUAAAGUCGGGUAUGCAUACCCGUUUGCAUGUACUUUAUGAAUAAGGAUCGGCUAACUCCGUG